UGGGGAAUAUUGCACAAUGGGCGCAAGCCUGAUGCAGCCAUGCCGCGUGUGUGAAGAAGGCCUUCGGGUUGUAAAGCACUUUCAGCGAGGAGGAAGGUGGUGAACUUAAUACGUUCAUCAAUUGACGUUACUCGCAGAAGAAGCACCGGCUAACUCCGUGCCAGCAGCCGCGGUAAUACGGAGGGUGCAAGCGUUAAUCGGAAUUACUGGGCGUAAAGCGCACGCAGGCGGUUUGUUAAGUCAGAUGUGAAAUCCCCGGGCUCAACCUGGGAACUGCAUUUGAAACUGGCAAGCUAGAGUCUCGUAGAGGGGGGUAGAAUUCCAGGUGUAGCGGUGAAAUGCGUAGAGAUCUGGAGGAAUACCGGUGGCGAAGGCGGCCCCCCUGGACGAAGACUGACGCUCAGGUGCGAAAGCGUGGGGAGCAAACAGAUUAGAUACCCUGGUAGUCCACGCUGUAAACGAUGUCGAUUUUGGAGGUUGUGCCCCUUGAGGCGUGGCUUCCGGAGCUAACGCGUUAAAUCGACCGCCUGGGGAGUACGGCC
RNAcentral lists this ribosomal RNA (542 nucleotides) under uncultured bacterium. RNAcentral's name for it is "partial 16S ribosomal RNA". It matches the Rfam family "Bacterial small subunit ribosomal RNA", at positions 355 to 887 of the family's 1533-position model. The record is from RNAcentral.